RNAcentral lists this ribosomal RNA (309 nucleotides) under uncultured eukaryote. RNAcentral describes it as "bacterial SSU rRNA". It matches the Rfam family "Eukaryotic small subunit ribosomal RNA", at positions 111 to 414 of the family's 1831-position model. The record is from RNAcentral.
UAUAAUUUAUUUGAUAUUCUCUUACUACUUGGAUAACCGUAGUAAUUCUAGAGCUAAUUCAUGCAUCAACACCCAACUGUUCGCGGACGGGUGGUAUUUAUUAGAUUGAAACCAAUUGAGGGCAACCUCAUAUUGUGGUGAUUCAUAAUAACUUCGCGGAUCGCAGUGGGCUUUACGUCCGGCGAUAGAUCAUUCAAGUUUCUGCCCUAUCAGCUUUGGAUGGUAGGGUAUUGGCCUACCAUGGCUUUAACGGGUAACGGAGAAUUAGGGUUCGAUUCCGGAGAGGGAGCCUGAGAGACGGCUACCACA